RNAcentral lists this ribosomal RNA (468 nucleotides) under uncultured bacterium. RNAcentral describes it as "partial 16S ribosomal RNA". It matches the Rfam family "Bacterial small subunit ribosomal RNA", at positions 28 to 507 of the family's 1533-position model. The record is from RNAcentral.
GACGAACGCUGGCGGCGUGCUUAACACAUGCAAGUCGAACGGAAAGGCCCUGCUUUUGUGGGGUGCUCGAGUGGCGAACGGGUGAGUAACACGUGAGUAACCUGCCCUUGACUUUGGGAUAACUUCAGGAAACUGGGGCUAAUACCGGAUAGGAGCUCCUGCUGCAUGGUGGGGGUUGGAAAGUUUCGGCGUUUGGGGAUGGACUCGCGGCUUAUCAGCUUGUUGGUGGGGUAGUGGCUUACCAAGGCUUUGACGGGUAGCCGGCCUGAGAGGGUGACCGGCCACAGUGGGCCUGGGAGACGGCCCAGACUCCUACGGGAGGCAGCAGUGGGGAAUAUUGCACAAUGGGCGGAAGCCUGAUGCAGCAACGCCGCGUGCGGGAUGACGGCCUUCGGGUUGUAAACCGCUUUCGCCUGUGACGAAGCGUGAGUGACGGUAAUGGGUAAAGAAGCACCGGCUAACUACGUG